This is a non-coding RNA of Lepisosteus oculatus (spotted gar), 585 nucleotides long. Lineage: Eukaryota; Metazoa; Chordata; Actinopteri; Semionotiformes; Lepisosteidae. The record is from RefSeq and is a predicted model, not a curated record.
CAAAACUACCCAGUUGGAAAUUAUUUUUGCCUAAAAAACGUUUUUUUUUCUUUAUACGUUUACCCUCAACCUUUUGAAUAUGCACCUCAACCGCUGACGAAUCGCACGAGGGCGUCAGUGAAGUCUCGUUCGAGGGGGAGGGAGAGGAGACCAGUUCUCGCGUGUUUUCCCUGUGGCCCUGCUCUCACAGCUGCGGAGGAAGAGCAGCAUAUUACAGUUUUUCAGCGUAUUCAUGAUGAGUUAUGCAGAAAAGCCAGAGGAUAUAACUAAAGAUGAGUGGAUGGACAAACUCAAUAAUGUACACAUUCAGAGAGCGGACAUGAAUCGACUAAUCAUGAAUUAUUUAGUAACAGGUAAAUGUUUCAGUUUGUUGAGAAUUAUUAACCAAUGUUUAGAAAAUAAACGUGUAUACAGUAAGUCAUUUGGAUACAUGUUACUCUACCAUGAAGUUAUCAUAUCUGUGCCUUGCUAAAUGUCAUAUUUAUCUUUAUGCAAUCUUAUUUUCUCCUUGUUUUGGACAUUCAAGGUAAAUGUUAGGUAACUUAACAAGACACUUUACUUUUAUUGUUGUAUGUAAAAGAAAAG